GAUGAACGCUGGCGGCGUGCCUAAUACAUGCAAGUCGAGCGAACAGAUGAGGAGCUUGCUCCUCUGACGUUAGCGGCGGACGGGUGAGUAACACGUGGAUAACCUACCUAUAAGACUGGGAUAACUUCGGGAAACCGGAGCUAAUACCGGAUAAUAUAUUGAACCGCAUGGUUCAAUAGUGAAAGACGGUUUUGCUGUCACUUAUAGAUGGAUCCGCGCCGCAUUAGCUAGUUGGUAAGGUAACGGCUUACCAAGGCGACGAUGCGUAGCCGACCUGAGAGGGUGAUCGGCCACACUGGAACUGAGACACGGUCCAGACUCCUACGGGAGGCAGCAGUAGGGAAUCUUCCGCAAUGGGCGAAAGCUUGACGGAGCAACGCCGCGUGAGUGAUGAAGGUCUUCGGAUCGUAAAACUCUGUUAUUAGGGAAGAACAAAUGUGUAAGUAACUAUGCACGUCUUGACGGGACCUAAUCAGAAAGCCACGGCGAACUACGG
RNAcentral lists this ribosomal RNA (496 nucleotides) under uncultured bacterium. RNAcentral describes it as "partial 16S ribosomal RNA". It matches the Rfam family "Bacterial small subunit ribosomal RNA", at positions 28 to 506 of the family's 1533-position model. The record is from RNAcentral.